UGGGAGGUAGCAAGGGAAGAGAACACCUCA
Molecule: non-coding RNA, 30 nt
Filed under: Rattus norvegicus (Norway rat)
Lineage: Eukaryota; Metazoa; Chordata; Mammalia; Rodentia; Muridae
Source: RNAcentral